RNAcentral lists this ribosomal RNA (375 nucleotides) under uncultured bacterium. RNAcentral's name for it is "bacterial SSU rRNA". It matches the Rfam family "Bacterial small subunit ribosomal RNA", at positions 523 to 898 of the family's 1533-position model. The record is from RNAcentral.
AUACGUAGGGGGCGAGCGUUGCUCGGAAUUACUGGGCGUAAAGGGUGUGCAGGUGGCUGAGCAAGUCAACGAUGAAAUCCCGAGGCUCAACUUCGGAAUUGUCUUUGAUACUGCUUGGCUUGAGGACAGUUGAGGAGGGCGGAAUUCCCGGUGGAGCGGUGAAAUGCGUAGAUAUCGGGAGGAACACCUGAGGCGAAGGCGGCUCUCUAAACUGCUCCUGACACUGAGACACGAAAGCUAGGGGAGCAAACGGGAUUAGAUACCCCGGUAGUCCUAGCCGUAAACUAUGGACGCUAGAUGUUCCUGCGUUUAAGCGGGAGUGUCGAAGCUAACGCGUUAAGCGUCCCGCCUGGGGAGUACGGUCGCAAGAUUGAA